RNAcentral lists this ribosomal RNA (465 nucleotides) under uncultured bacterium. RNAcentral's name for it is "bacterial SSU rRNA". It matches the Rfam family "Bacterial small subunit ribosomal RNA", at positions 917 to 1382 of the family's 1533-position model. The record is from RNAcentral.
GGGCCCGCACAAGCGGCGGAGCAUGCUGAUUAAUUCGAUGCAACGCGAAGAACCUUACCUGGGCUUGACAUAUACCGGAAAGCUGCAGAGAUGUAGCCCCCCUUGUGGUCGGUAAACAGGUGGUGCAUGGCUGUCGUCAGCUCGUGUCGUGAGAUGUUGGGUUAAGUCCCGCAACGAGCGCAACCCUCGUCCUAUGUUGCCAGCACGUAAUGGUGGGGACUCAUAGGAGACUGCCGGGGUCAACUCGGAGGAAGGUGGGGAUGACGUCAAGUCAUCAUGCCCCUUAUGUCCAGGGCUUCAAGCAUGCUACAAUGGCCGGUACAAAGGGCUGCGAUACCGCAAGGUGGAGCGAAUCCCAAAAAGCCGGUCUCAGUUCGGAUUGGGGUCUGCAACUCGACCCCAUGAAGUCGGAGUCGCUAGUAAUCGCAGAUCAGCAACGCUGCGGUGAAUACGUUCCCGGGCCUU